AGGAGGAACAACGACAGUGGCAGCGGCAGCUCUGGAAACCUGGAUUCCUUCCGCCCAGUAACUCCAGAGCUCUCAGUCUGCAGAGCCUGGAUGCUCCGGGGGCUG
RNAcentral lists this microRNA precursor (105 nucleotides) under Canis lupus familiaris (dog). RNAcentral's name for it is "mir-8834 microRNA precursor family". It matches the Rfam family "mir-8834 microRNA precursor family". Lineage: Eukaryota; Metazoa; Chordata; Mammalia; Carnivora; Canidae. The record is from Rfam by way of RNAcentral. RNAcentral also lists the same sequence under 1 other name.